Molecule: ribosomal RNA, 81 nt
Filed under: Porphyromonas sp. COT-108 OH1349
Lineage: Bacteria; Pseudomonadati; Bacteroidota; Bacteroidia; Bacteroidales; Porphyromonadaceae
Source: RNAcentral
AAAGGUGGCUAUAGCAUCGGGGAUCCACCUCUAACCAUUCCGAACAGAGCAGUUAAGCCCGAUCACGCCGAUGGUACUAUG